GAACGAGAAAGUGGAGCAAUCCAUGAGUAAAGUGGCGACCGGGUGAGUAACACGUGACUAACCUACCUCCGAGUGGGGAAUAACUCCGGGAAACCGGGGCUAAUACCGCAUAACAUCGAGAGAUCAAAGCAGCAAUGCGCUUGAGGAGGGGGUCGCGGCUGAUUAGCCAGUUGGUGAGGUAACGGCUCACCAAAGCGAAGAUCGGUAUCCGGCCUGAGAGGGCGCACGGACACACUGGAACUGAAACACGGUCCAGACUCCUACGGGAGGCAGCAGUGGGGAAUUUUGCGCAAUGGGGGAAACCCUGACGCAGCAACGCCGCGUGGAGGAUGAAGCCCUUUGGGGUGUAAACUCCUUUCGAUCGGGACGAUAAUGACGGUACCGGAUGAAGAAGCACCGGCUAACUCUGUG
This 411-nucleotide ribosomal RNA is filed under the name uncultured bacterium. Its description in RNAcentral is "bacterial SSU rRNA". It matches the Rfam family "Bacterial small subunit ribosomal RNA", at positions 64 to 507 of the family's 1533-position model. The record is from RNAcentral.